RNAcentral lists this ribosomal RNA (464 nucleotides) under uncultured bacterium. RNAcentral describes it as "SSU rRNA". It matches the Rfam family "Bacterial small subunit ribosomal RNA", at positions 26 to 521 of the family's 1533-position model. The record is from RNAcentral.
AGAACGAACGCUGGCGGCAGGCUUAACACAUGCAAGUCGAACGCUCCUAGCAAUAGGGGAGUGGCAGACGGGUGAGUAACGCGUGGGAACAUACCCUCCGGUUCGGAAUAACUCAGGGAAACUUGAGCUAAUACCGGAUACGGCCUUUAGUCGAAGGAUUGGCGGCGAAAGAUUUAUCGCCGGAGGAUUGGCCCGCGUCCGAUUAGCUAGUUGGUGUGGUAAUGGCGCACCAAGGCGACGAUCGGUAGCUGGUCUGAGAGGAUGAUCAGCCACAUUGGGACUGAGACACGGCCCAAACUCCUACGGGAGGCAGCAGUGGGGAAUAUUGGACAAUGGGCGCAAGCCUGAUCCAGCCAUGCCGCGUGAGUGAUGACGGCCUUAGGGUUGUAAAGCUCUUUCGCUCGGGACGAUAAUGACGGUACCGAGAUAAGAGCCCCGGCUAACUUCGUGCCAGCAGCCGCGGU